Molecule: ribosomal RNA, 485 nt
Filed under: uncultured bacterium
Lineage: Bacteria
Description: bacterial SSU rRNA
Rfam family: Bacterial small subunit ribosomal RNA
Source: RNAcentral
GAUGAACGCUAGCGGGAGGCUUAAUACAUGCAAGUCGAGCGGCAAGUUUUGAUAGCAAUAUUGGAACCUAGAGCGGCGCACGGGUGAGUAACGCGUACAUGACCUGCCCUAUACUGGGGGAUAGUCUUGGGAAACUGAGAAUAAUCCCGCAUGUGAUUAGAAUGCUGCAUGGCAAAUUAAUUAAAGCUGAGGCGGUAUAGGAUGGGUGUGCGGAUGAUUAGGUAGUUGGUAGGGUAACGGCCUACCAAGCCGACGAUCAAUAGCUGGCGUGAGAGCGCGACCAGCCACACUGGAACUGAGACACGGUCCAGACUCCUACGGGAGGCAGCAGUAGGGAAUAUUGGACAAUGGGCGGAAGCCUGAUCCAGCCAUGCCGCGUGGAGGAUUAAGGCCCUCUGGGUUGUAAAUAUCUUUUAUCUGGGAAGAAACUCCUCUAUUCUUAGAGGCCUGACGGUACCAGAGGAAUAAGCACCGGCUAACUCCGU